GGGCCCGCACAAGCGGUGGAGUAUGUGGUUUAAUUCGAUGCAACGCGAAGAACCUUACCAGGGUUUGACAUCCUGCGAAUCUUUUGGAAACGAGAGAGUGCCUUCGGGAACGCAGUGACAGGUGGUGCAUGGCUGUCGUCAGCUCGUGUCGUGAGAUGUUGGGUUAAGUCCCGCAACGAGCGCAACCCACGUCGUUAGUUGCCAGCAUUUAGUUGGGCACUCUAGCGAGACCGCCGGUGAUAAACCGGAGGAAGGUGUGGAUGACGUCAAGUCAUCAUGCCCCUUACAUCCUGGGCUACACACGUACUACAAUGCUACGGACAAAGGGCAGCAAGUUCGCGAGGACAAGCAAAUCCCAUAAACCGUGGCUCAGUUCAGAUCGUAGGCUGCAACUCGCCUACGUGAAGGCGGAAUCGCUAGUAAUCGCAGGUC
RNAcentral lists this ribosomal RNA (432 nucleotides) under uncultured bacterium. Its description in RNAcentral is "bacterial SSU rRNA". It matches the Rfam family "Bacterial small subunit ribosomal RNA", at positions 917 to 1350 of the family's 1533-position model. The record is from RNAcentral.